Cydia pomonella (codling moth) is the source of this 840-nucleotide long non-coding RNA. RefSeq lists it as uncharacterized. The record is from RefSeq and is a predicted model, not a curated record. NCBI's taxonomy places the organism in Eukaryota, Metazoa, Arthropoda, Insecta, Lepidoptera, Tortricidae. The transcript has 3 exons.
CGCCGCUCGCCUGCUCGCCGCUCGCUUGCUUGCUGCUCGCACUCGCCGCGGUGCUCGCCGCCACUGAUGCUACUGUCACGUCCACACUAACCUUCUUGGAGGAUUAUGCACAGGAUUCACAAUGGACAUUCCUCCAAGGAUUAAGCACGUGAGCGGUAGCUUUAACUUUAUGCUGGAGACCGACGGACAUAGUGCUGAAAGAUAUUCCCGAUAACUGCUCAGCGUUCGGCAAGGGAAAUAUUGCAAAGCAGAUAGUUGACGUGUGCAACAAAUACGCCUGUCCGUCGGUCCAAACGUUCCCACCGACAGAAGUGCAGGCCCUCGGCGACACCGUGCUGUCACCCGCGUACGCUUCCCGUGAGAAAGACUCCCGAGUGUGGACCUCUCUCGUGGAAUAUCACCCAGAUGUGCAGAAUGGUCCCCUACGGGCGUUGAAGAGUUGUAAGCGCGCAAAUUAGAGCGGGUUGAAAAUAUGAAAUAAAAUGUUUAUAAAAAAUCGAGUGAGAGAUUUUAUUUAUUUUAAUUAUCUUGAUAUCAAUAAGCUCAGAGUCCUGAUCUCAAUAUAUGUUUCGAAGAGCUUUGUGUUGCAAUCCUAUGGAAUAUGUAUACAUUUUCAUUGCCAAGCCAGUGUAAAAUCUGUGUGGUGAAGUCUAGCCCCGUACCUAAUGUUUAAACGAAACUAGACUAACACGUAUACAAAGAGAGCCAUGUAGCACAGUGGCACACACAAUUAAACGGUACUGUAAAGGGAUACGGUCUAUCUGCGGUGGGGAAUGUAUACGUUCGAGGUAGAUUUCUGAUAAUAUUUAAUUUUAUUUUUUCUUCAAACAGUAAUAACAU